GGACUGUAGCUCAGUGGUAGAGCAUCUAUCUGCCUUGCAUGCACAAAGUCCCAGCUUCAGCCUCUGGCAUAUCCA
This is a non-coding RNA of Podarcis lilfordi (Lilford's wall lizard), 75 nucleotides long. The record is from the annotation of a GenBank genome assembly. Lineage: Eukaryota; Metazoa; Chordata; Lepidosauria; Squamata; Lacertidae.